AGCAGUAGCCGCGGUAAAACGGAGGGUGCAAGCGUUAUCCGGAUUUAUUGGGUUUAAAGGGUCCGUAGGCGGAUCUGUAAGUCAGUGGUGAAAUCUCACAGCUUAACUGUGAAACUGCCAUUGAUACUGCAGGUCUUGAGUAAAUUUGAAGUGGCUGGAAUAAGUAGUGUAGCGGUGAAAUGCAUAGAUAUUACUUAGAACACCAAUUGCGAAGGCAGGUCACUAAGAUUUAACUGACGCUGAUGGACGAAAGCGUGGGGAGCGAACAGGAUUAGAUACCCGUGUAGUCCCUGUCUCUUAUAA
Molecule: ribosomal RNA, 303 nt
Filed under: uncultured bacterium
Lineage: Bacteria
Description: partial 16S ribosomal RNA
Rfam family: Bacterial small subunit ribosomal RNA
Source: RNAcentral